UACGGAGGGAGCUAGCGUUGUUCGGAAAUACUGGGCGUAAAGCGCACGUAGGCGGAUUUGUCAGUCAGGGGUGAAAUCCCGGGGCUCAACCUCGGAACUGCCUUUGAUACAGCAAGUCUUGAGUUCGAGAGAGGUGGGUGGAAUUCCUAGUGUAGAGGUGAAAUUCGUAGAUAUUAGGAAGAACACCGGUGGCGAAGGCGGCCCACUGGCUCGAUACUGACGCUGAGGUGCGAAAGCGUGGGGAGCAAACAGG
RNAcentral lists this ribosomal RNA (253 nucleotides) under uncultured bacterium. RNAcentral's name for it is "partial 16S ribosomal RNA". It matches the Rfam family "Bacterial small subunit ribosomal RNA", at positions 524 to 776 of the family's 1533-position model. The record is from RNAcentral.